GAUGAACGCUGGCGGCGUGCCUAAUACAUGCAAGUCGAGCGAACGGAUGAGAAGCUUGCUUCUCUGAUGUUAGCGGCGGACGGGUGAGUAACACGUGGAUAACCUACCUAUAAGACUGGGAUAACUUCGGGAAACCGGAGCUAAUACCGGAUAAUAUUUUGAACCUCAUGGUUCAAAAGUGAAAGACGGUCUUGCUGUCACUUAUAGAUGGAUCCGCGCUGCAUUAGCUAGUUGGUAAGGUAACGGCUUACCAAGGCAACGAUGCAUAGCCGACCUGAGAGGGUGAUCGGCCACACUGGAACUGAGACACGGUCCAGACUCCUACGGGAGGCAGCAGUAGGGAAUCUUCCGCAAUGGGCGAAAGCCUGACGGAGCAACGCCGCGUGAGUGAUGAAGGUCUUCGGAUCGUAAAACUCUGUUAUUAGGGAAGAACAUAUGUGUAAGUAACUGUGCACAUCUUGACGGUACCUAAUCAGAAAGCCACGGCUAACUACGUG
RNAcentral lists this ribosomal RNA (497 nucleotides) under uncultured bacterium. RNAcentral describes it as "partial 16S ribosomal RNA". It matches the Rfam family "Bacterial small subunit ribosomal RNA", at positions 28 to 507 of the family's 1533-position model. The record is from RNAcentral.